UACGGGGGGGGCAAGCGUUGUUCGGAAUUACUGGGCGUAAAGGGCUCGUAGGCGGCCAACUAAGUCGGACGUGAAAUCCCCAGGCUCAACCUGGGAACUGCGUCCGAUACUGGAUGGCUUGAAUCCGGGAGAGGGAUGCAGAAUUCCUGGUGUAGCGGUGAAAUGCGUAGAUAUCAGGAGGAACACCGGUGGUGUAGACGGCUUUCUGGACCGUAACUGACGCUGAGACACGAAAGCGUGGGUAGCAAACAGG
RNAcentral lists this ribosomal RNA (253 nucleotides) under uncultured bacterium. Its description in RNAcentral is "partial 16S ribosomal RNA". It matches the Rfam family "Bacterial small subunit ribosomal RNA", at positions 524 to 776 of the family's 1533-position model. The record is from RNAcentral.